AUGGCAGGUUCCUCCGCUCCGGCAGCCAUCUCCUUCGCCCAUGUUCAGAUCGCUGAGAAGCUAACCAGGGAGAACUAUCUACCCUGGAAGGCUCAGGUCCUGCCACCGGUCCGAGGUGCCCUUCUCAUGGGUUUCCUCGACGGAUCGCGGGCAGCACCACCGGAGGAAAUCGAGGAGGCAAAGGCGGACAAGACCGUCGAGAAGGUAUGUAACCCAGCCUAUGCAGCAUGGGUGGCUCAAGACCAGCAGGUUUUGGGUUUUCUGCUCGGGUCUCUUUCCCGAGAGGUGUUGCUGCAGGUGAUGGAUCAUACGGAGAGCAGCAAGCUGUGGGCCGCGAUCCAGGCGAUGUUCGCCUCGCAGUCGCGUGCCCGCGUCAUCCAGCUCCGCACGCAGCUCACAAACUCGCGCAAGGGAGAUCUCUCUGCCACUGCGUACUUCACCAAGAUGAAGGGAAUCGCUGACGAGCUUGCUGCCACGGGGAAGAAGAUGGACGAUGACGAUCUGGUCUCGCAGAUUCUCUCGGAGCUUGAUGCAGACUACAACCCCUUCAUCUCGGCGCUCUCUGCCAAGGCGAACGAGCAGGCGAUCACCCUCGCCGAACUCUUCUCCGGGCUCCUGGUGGCCGAGUCACGUCUGGAGGCGCAGAACCCGGUGAGUCAGCAGCUGUCGGUCAAUCUCGUCGCCAAGGGUGGACGUGGCGGCGGCUAUCCUCAGGGUCGCAGCAACAGCAGCGGCAACAGUCGCGGUGGAGGAGGCGGGCGCUCCUCUGAUGACGGGCGUGGUGGCUAUGGUGGCUACCCCAACCAGCGCCAAGGCCAAGGCUGUGGUGGUCACGGUGGUGGAGGCUACCACAACGGCGGCGGCUACAACGGCGGCGGCGGCGGCUACUACUACGGCGGCGACGGCGGCGGCUACAACAACCAUACCCGAACCGACGUGGUCAUAUGA
Molecule: ribosomal RNA, 948 nt
Filed under: Triticum aestivum (bread wheat)
Lineage: Eukaryota; Viridiplantae; Streptophyta; Magnoliopsida; Poales; Poaceae
Description: partial small subunit ribosomal RNA
Source: RNAcentral